RNAcentral lists this ribosomal RNA (309 nucleotides) under Epimeria grandirostris. RNAcentral describes it as "partial 16S ribosomal RNA". It matches the Rfam family "Bacterial large subunit ribosomal RNA", at positions 2079 to 2610 of the family's 2925-position model. Lineage: Eukaryota; Metazoa; Arthropoda; Malacostraca; Amphipoda; Epimeriidae. The record is from RNAcentral.
GACGACAAGACCCUAAAAUCUUUAGUUUAAAGGGGUUUAGUGGGGUAAGGGUUAAAUACUAAGGCCCUAAAGCUUUAACUGGGGUAGUUUUUUUAUAGAAAUUAAGAUUGUAUUUACAUAUAUUGGGCUAAAGGUCUUUAAUAUUGAGACAGAUAGGGUAAGUUACUUUAGGGAUAACAGCGUAAUAGGCCUGAAGAGAUCUUAUCUAUAGGUGUGAUUGCGACCUCGAUGUUGAAUUAAGAGAUCCCUGUAGGGUAAGUGAUAUAGGAGAGGGUUUGUUCAACCCUUAAAAUCUUACAUGAUCUGAGU